AGAAAGUUUUUAUUAGAAGUUAUAUUUCUGCUAAAAUAAAUAGUUACAUUUUCUUCAGCAAAACAUUAGGGGAAAAAAAGGGGAAGAAAAAAAAAGGCAUUAACACUUUAAUACUGAACUUUUAAAGUGACUGUGAACACUACUUAAUGACAUUGCUGAGUAAAUACAAAACUUGCGUAUGCUAUUGCUGGUCUAGUUGCUGCUCUGACAUCAGUAAUCUCCACAGGAUCUCUACGUGCAUUGUGUGUUUAAGGCUCUGCUCCCACUCAGUGACAGCAGUGGAGCCUCAGGACACAUUGAGCUCAAAGAGCUGCUUUAGAUGCUGGUUUCAAGAGCAAGAGAAAACCCAGAAGGAAGAGGUAUUUAUUUCAAAGUUACAUUUCCAAGUCCUCUGUUUGGAACUAGGUUUCCCCUCCCUGCACAGAAGGGCUGAUGUGGAUCUACACAGUGAGAUGGAUGCAGUUAGAGACCGUCCUGGUGGAGCUGCCUGCAGACUGGAACCAGAGCAAUGUCCCACUGGUACAUGCAAGGGGAAGGAGGGAGAGGAGAGGGGAGCAAGCACUGCUGCAGUCAGAGGGGCAGCCACCACAGGGACACAGAGGGCAGGCAGGCCAGAACCCACUGUGAAGGCACAGGGUGUUUGGCACGAGCAACCCAGCUGAUGUGGCAGCCAGGUGAGGUGGUCUGUUCCCUCACUGAUUUAAGGAGAAGAUGGAAAAAGAAAACCGUUGGCAAUGCCCUCCAACUUUGGCAACACUCAGCCCUGCCACCCACCACAUCUAGCGUGUGUUUAGCAGAAACGGACCCCUAAGGGAAACACACACACUGAGCUUCAGGUAUUUCUCCCACCAGCACUGGCAAAAGUGAGAGCUCUUCUCUCAGAGGAAGGAGUGAAUUACUAGAUUCAUUUUUAAAAGUGGACAAACCACUGGUGAAUACACAGUGAGUGCUAGGGACACCCCAGUGCUGGCAGACAGCAGAUUGCCUUUUAUCCUCUGGUCCAAGUGUUGCAGGUACGCAGCCCUCCAGAAAGUCACGAGAAAACACCUCCUAGGUCCUAUAGGUAGUGGUCAGAAGUGAAGUAUUUUCUCCUACCCUUUGAAAAUCAGCUUGCAACAAUAUUAGCAGUAGGGCAGGCAGCAAACCAAACCCAACAUACCACACACUCCUGUGGCUUACGGAGCAUGCCAUAGAUAUGGACCAUUGCACGCAACAUAAAACAACUCUACAGCGUUGUUCAGGUUAGGGGCUAGUUAGAUGCACAAGAAGUUCACCAUUAGCCUUGUUAAAAGCAGCAAGUAGUACCACAGGAAGGAGAGAAAAAAAAGUGGAUUCCUGAAUGCAAGACCCUCGCAAGGGUUGGGACUCUUGCAGAGUUCAAGUGAAUGCUGUAAGGACAACUGGGCAUGGACUACGAGACGAACUGUUGGUCCAGGAACCUGACCUCUCAACCACCAUAUUCUGGAGAGCAGACAGGCCCUAGCAACUGCCCUCUGGGCUGCCCAGCCACACAUUUUGCUGAAGAAGGGGCCAACUGCUACAGAUUAUUACCUCAUUCCUACGAACUUGACAAAUGGAGGUUAAUCAGCAACUCCUGCCCAGAAGAUAAUAAAUGCCACGACGCACAUGUGGAGCAAGGGCUCAAAGAAUUCCAGUUAUCACAAUAAAGUCCUCCAUAUCCAAUCCAGAGCCUAUCAUGAGGUUUCCAGGGAUUUCAAAGAAGUGAGAUCUGAUCUAGAGGAGGCAGCACAGCAUAGCAAAAAGCUAUUCUUCCAAAGCAGCUGCACCCUUUUUCUGUAUCAGCAGGCAAGAUCUUCCUACUUUCUUCAUCCUUUGCAAUCUGUGAUGAAUGAGCAGCAAGGAUUUCAAGCAAAUACAUGAAACUUCUCCUAAGAAGGAGGACGGUAGGUUUGAGGUAUUUUUGACAGAUCUACAGUUUGACAGUUCCUUUAAGAACUUAUAUCUAUAAAGCCAACAAGCUAUCGCACAACAGUCACUGCAUGACUUGGGGAAUAAACACAAAGAAAGGGUUAACACAGCGUGGUGCUUUCCCAGUAUCCGUUCACACCCUGCAAAUCAGCAUAGGGAAAACAGGAGUUUCCUCCCUGAAGAGUUAGACCUUUAUAUUUAAAGCCAGGCUUUGGUUUGUGGUUACAGUUUAAAGUGCGCAGAAGCUUCCCUUUGAGAGGUCAAUAUAAUUAACAAAACGACAAAUGAGGUGAAGCAGAAAGAAACUCAGGCCUUUUACCAGGCACAGGGUUUAAUCUCUUGAAAUGCAUGGACCAGAACCGGCAAGCCUUCUGGAUCAGAGCAUGGGAAGACAGCGGCACAAGCCCAGUCAGUUCUGAUGCCAAAGGAGAACAGGAGAGAUCCAGGGGAUAAGGGUGCCAAGCUGCAAUUCCUUAGCACGCUCUGUUGCCAGGAGAAUUUUGUUUCAUAGUUUAGUGGUUUACAUAAUCGCUCAGUGGUUUUACCAGUCCAGGAAGAAGGGAUAAAAAAAAAAUAAAAAAUAGUUGCAUCAUUUUCUCCACCCAUACAUUAACACAAACAAGGCAGAGUCAAAAGGGCAGCAGCUUCUAAGCGCAAGAUUUUCCUUUUCCAGCUUUGGCCCUCACAGAUGUUUUGCUUCUGGAUGAAAUGCCUUCAUUUCUUGCCACUAAGCAUCCACAGGUUCUUGCCAGUUGCUCCGUGUGCAUUAGGGACAAGAGAUGCGCAUUUGGCAAAUGAAGCAGCUGUGUAUGUGCCAUUCCCCUAGAGAAGGUAGCCCAGAGAGCAGUGGAAGAAAAGAAAUCCCACACCAAACCACAAAAUAAACACCUUAAUUCCAGUUUUCACCAAAUUCAUCCUGCUCCCAAUAACUGACAGCAGCUUGUUGCUGGUUCACUUCAACUGGAGUUACAUAUAUCUGGCAGUAAGCUUUUUCUGCAGGCUUUAGGCAACCACAAGAUUGACUUGUUUUGUAAUCCAAUAUUCCUAUUCUGGAUUCAGAAUCCUCCAAUUUUUCUCUCUUCCUGUAAUGACUUUUCUGUUCCCUAAAUGCCUUAACUAUGUGAAGCUUAAGACUAAAUCUGACCACGAAGUGCAGGCCCACUUCAUAAGCGAUGCAGGCCCUUGUGUUACAUACGUAGGUUACAUCCAGGAAGGGCAGUGGGGUGAUACUCUAAGUCACAAGUUCAUAGGUGCACCAGCACCUCCUGGACAGUUGGUUAGCACCACAGCUGCCCAGUCUAUUGCCUCCCAGCUUGCAACAGCCACUGCAGAAAAGGCCUGAUGGUUAUCACCACAAACAUUCAAACCAUACCCAGUGCAACUGUGCUGGUAGGAAACAGCACCCCCCACAUCACCCACACUGCUCAUGCAGAUGUGAUUGAGCAGAUUCACUGCCUUCUCCAGCUGUUAGUAGAACUUCUGGGGUUAUUUUUCCUUUCUAAAUCAAAGGUGCAAGAGAGUCCAUUAUAAAUCACUAUUCAUUGUAUAGGCUAUGUAGUCAGCUUCAGGUACCCUGUCCUGCUCCCCAGCAAAGACAGCAUACGUUUGCUUUGGCCAAUUGCAUACUGUUUGUGCUAGGAGAGGUAGAAGAUGCCUCAUGCAGCUAGACAUGCUGCAGAAUAAAAGAGGAAAAAAAGAUGCCAGCAGCUGGUUUUGUGUCAUAGAGCAAUGAUUUAAGCUUAAGUACAUAAAAUCCCCACGGGAAGCCAUGUCUCACCCUGUGAAGAACAGAGUUCAUGUUUCUGCACAGCAAGUCGCAACCAGACCACCACUGAAAAAGGAAUACCUUAAGAAGGCACAGUCCUGCCCUGCUACAGACUCACUAGCUGUGGUCUUUGUCAAGGGACAACACAAAAGUAGCCUGUUCCAAGCAGGCUGCACGUGCACCAACAGUCCUAACUUCACUUCCACUUCUCAUGCUCCUGCUAUUGCUACCUGCAGAGCUGUACCUGUGAGCCACAACAGGAGGCAGGCAAGCUGCGGGGCUGGUAUAGCUACAAGCCUAAAUCCUUCUCACUCCAAAACCUCAAUAUUCAAACUCCUCAAGAAAAAAAAAGAUAAGGUCAAGCCUCCAGUCUGGCAGGAGAUCCCUUCUGUAUCACCCACUUCGAAUUUCCUCCAGUUGUACAGUCCCUUAAGGAGCAAAGCCCAACCCCUGUCAGAGGCAGCCACUUCCCCAGCACUUGCUGUGACACUCUACCACAACCACUCGAAAGUAACAUGCCCUGCACAAUUCUCACCUUCCUACAAGCACCCUGCAUUGCUUCAGCUGUUAAGCUGAUCCUGAAAUAGUCAGGCUGAGCUUUUCCAGAGCAACCCCACACCAAUUCCAUUAACACUGACAGGAAUGGGGCCUUGAAUUUAACAUGUUCCCCUGGAAAAAAAUUCUAUCUAAAUUACUUCUUCAAAUAAGCUCAAUGACUUGCAUAACACUCACAGCUCGAGCUGCAGCAGUUCCAUGAGGACAAAAACACAAAGGGGGAGAUCACAACAACAUAAACCUAAGUAAAUACAUAACUUUUCUACCUUUCCGCAGUCCCGGUGCAGUCUGCAGCAGGGCCAGCUCUGGCUUCCAGUGGGGACACAGUUCAGGGACAGAGGAAAAGAUGUGGCUUCAGCACAGAAGUCAAAAAGAGAUUUGGAAGCCACAAGAAAAAUUGGUUUGGCAAGAGGCUGCUUCAUCUUUCAGUAGCACAAAGAGCUAAGGGAUGUCAGAUGAUUUAAGCAAAACCAAGACUCAUGUUCUAAGAAACAAAGGAAGCUAAAAAUUGUAUGAACUUGAGAGCAUCGCCUACAUCCUGAUUAUUUGGCAGUAAAAAGCCAAAGGCAAUUCAAAGUGCACUAUCUGGGAAAGCCCAGCUGGGUCAGCAUCAACCUGGCCAUGGGCAAUGGCCAGGCCUCAACACAAACCUAAAGCAAGGUAUCAGCCUGUGUGUGUCUUUGAACACAGAGAUCCCUUGCCUGGCCCAGUGGGCAAAAAAUGGCUACAAUCUCCAAAUGGCACCAGUCUCCAUCCCGGGGAAAUCCCCUUUGCAGCAUAUUGAUGAGCACAGGGCAGCCUGCUGCUGAGGGAUGA
This 5065-nucleotide long non-coding RNA is filed under the name Strigops habroptila (Kakapo). RNAcentral's name for it is "lncRNA (ENSSHBG00005002632.1)". Lineage: Eukaryota; Metazoa; Chordata; Aves; Psittaciformes; Psittacidae. The record is from RNAcentral.